Molecule: ribosomal RNA, 459 nt
Filed under: uncultured bacterium
Lineage: Bacteria
Description: partial 16S ribosomal RNA
Rfam family: Bacterial small subunit ribosomal RNA
Source: RNAcentral
CCUACGGGGGGCAGCAGUGAGGAAUAUUGGUCAAUGGCCGGAAGGCUGAACCAGCCAAGCCGCGUGAGGGAGGAAGGCGCAGAGCGUCGCAGACCUCUUUUGCCGGGGGACAAAAGGCCGGACUCGUCCGGUCCUGAGGGUACCUGGAGAAAAAGCAUCGGCUAACUCCGUGCCAGCAGCCGCGGUAAUCCGGAGGAUGCGAGCGUUAUCCGGGUUCAUUGGGUUUAAAGGGUGCGUAGGGGGGCCUUUAAGCCGGCGUGGAAAUCGCGGGGCUCACCCCCGCAGAGCCGUUGGAACUGGGGGCCUUGAGUGCGGCGGAGGCAUGCGGAAUGCGUGGUGUAGCGGUGAAAUGCAUAGAUAUCGCGCAGAACCCCGAUUGCGAAGGCAGCGUGCCGUUCCGCCACUGACGCUGAGGCACGAAAGCGCGGGGAUCGAACAGGAUUAGAUACCCUUGUAGUC